RNAcentral lists this ribosomal RNA (649 nucleotides) under Russula brevipes. RNAcentral's name for it is "eukaryotic LSU rRNA". The stretch from base 187 to 340 matches the Rfam family "5.8S ribosomal RNA". The record is from RNAcentral. Lineage: Eukaryota; Fungi; Basidiomycota; Agaricomycetes; Russulales; Russulaceae.
CGGAGGAGAGGGGGGAGUUUUAGGAAAUUAGAGGGUCCCUUAAANUGGGAGAGGAGGGAGGGGUCUUCUAACACCUUUGAGCAUCACCGCGNGCGGNCCCCCUUCCUCGGAGGGGGGUGCUCACGUUUUUAACAUCAAACACCCUANUGUANAAUGUUCUUUGCGCGAUCACGCGCGAAUCAAUACAACUUUCAACAACGGAUCUCUUGGCUCUCGCAUCGAUGAAGAACGCAGCGAAAUGCGAUACGUAAUGUGAAUUGCAGAAUUCAGUGAAUCAUCGAAUCUUUGAACGCACCUUGCGCCCCUUGGCAUUCCGAGGGGCACACCCGUUUGAGUGUCGUGAACAUCCUCAACCUGCUUCGUUCUAUCGAACCAAGUAGGCUUGGAAUUUGGAGGUUUUUCUGCUGGCUUCCUCUGAAGCCAGCUCCUCUUAAAUCUAUCAGUGGGAUCCGCUUUGCUUANAUCCUCGACGUUGAUAAGAUGUUUCUACGUCUUGGGUUUCGCUCGGGAAGGACCUGCUUCUAACCGUCCCCAUCGGGGACAAUGUUCGAGAGCCNAUCGCCCUUCACGGGGUGGGAAGCUUUUCGACCCAUGAAACCUUGACCUCAAAUCGGGUGAGACUACCCGCUGAACUUAAGCAUAUCAAUAA